Molecule: ribosomal RNA, 117 nt
Filed under: Lepisosteus oculatus (spotted gar)
Lineage: Eukaryota; Metazoa; Chordata; Actinopteri; Semionotiformes; Lepisosteidae
Source: RNAcentral
GCCAGCAGCUGUAUCUCCCUGCAGCGUACAGCUGGCAACCCACUGAAGCUCAGCAGGUGUGAGCCUCUUGGUACCAGGAUGGGAGACCUCCUGGGAAAGCUAAGGUUGCUGCUGGGA